This is a non-coding RNA of Maylandia zebra (zebra mbuna), 619 nucleotides long. Lineage: Eukaryota; Metazoa; Chordata; Actinopteri; Cichliformes; Cichlidae. The record is from RefSeq and is a predicted model, not a curated record.
GUUGUGGAAGUUCAGAACUUCUGCUUUUUCCAAGUGUGAAAAAUCUAAAUAACGUGACUGUUGCCUCCUUUCAGUUCCCACUUUACUGCUGAGCUGCACAGGAUAUCAAGCUCGUCUGAUCGUGAGUCCCAACAGCUCUGAUUUCUCUGAGGGAGAUGUUGUUACUCUAAUCUGUGAGGAGGACCAAAGCUCUUCUGAUUGGACUGUGAGGAGAAACACAAGCAAACUGCAGAGGGCUGAGUGUGGAGAUGGGAGGGUGAAAAAGAAACAUGAUCAAUCAUGUUCAAUCAGUACGCUGGUGCCUCACGACACCGGAGUUUACUGGUGUGAGUCCAGUAAUGGUGCCAUCAGUAACCUGGUUAAUAUCACAGUCACUGGUCACACAGGAGGAUCUGUUGGACUGAAGGUCAGCCUGUCAGUUCCUGCUGUGCUUCUUGUUGCUGCUGUUUUCUUGAUGUAGAGAAAACAAAAACAACAAAGAAUCAGGAUCCAGCCUCAUGUUGAGCUGCAGCAAAAUAAAAUGUCUGAAUCUUUUUAAAUCAGCACUCUUAGUCUCCCGCUGGUGGUUUCAGCGUUGUCAGUGAACCUGGGGAACAUGAGAUGAUGCUGGUAACAGAAA